GCUAGAGGAGUCCAAUGGCUGUGAUUUAGUUCAGGGAGACAAUUUAAGGCUGAUGAACUUAACUUUUAUUUAUCUUCCUUGCUGUAUUACAAGUGGCAUAUUAUAGCAAGAACAGAUGGGAUGAGCCAUGUGUUGGCAAGGCACAGGGGUUUCCUUUGAAAGUUAAAUUCUCUAAGGUGAUAUUGUUUUGUUUGUUUUAAUUCAGUUCCUACUUCUAUCUUUAUGUUGUCAAUGUAAGAUCAGAAAAAUAUUUUGGUCACUUUGGCUGAUACAAAAGGUUUCAUUGUGCUGUGACUAACUAGUUUUACUUGAUCGGGUUUGAACCCCGUCAUCCAACGAUGAAUUGAGGCCUUCAACCAAUGAGAAAUGGAUCAAUUUGAUGUAAGUUCAUCUGGUGCUUUAGAAUAUUGAGUGGGAAAAAGUAUCUUGUGCAAAAUUUUGAAGGUCUUUGAUGAGGUAGCACACUUUUUUUCAAGGAAAUAUAUAUCCAACUACUAAUCUGUAUUUCAAGGUGGUGUGGAA
RNAcentral lists this unclassified non-coding RNA (522 nucleotides) under Hevea brasiliensis (rubber tree). Lineage: Eukaryota; Viridiplantae; Streptophyta; Magnoliopsida; Malpighiales; Euphorbiaceae. The record is from RNAcentral.